UGCGUACCUUUUGUAUAAUGGGUCAGCGACUUAUAUUCUGUAGCAAGGUUAACCGUAUAGGGGAGCCGUAGGGAAACCGAGUCUUAACCGGGCGUUAAGUUGCAGGGUAUAGACCCGAAACCCGGUGAUCUAGCCAUGGGCAGGUUGAAGGUUGGGUAACACUAACUGGAGGACCGAACCGACUAAUGUUGAAAAAUUAGCGGAUGACCUGUGGCUGGGGGUGAAAGGCCAAUCAAACCGGGAGAUAGCUGGUUCUCCCCGAAAGCUAUUUAGGUAGCGCCUCGUGAAUUCAUCUCCGGGGGUAGAGCACUGUUUCGGCUAGGGGGCCAUCCCGGCUUACCAACCCGAUGCAAACUGCGAAUACCGGAGAAUGUUAUCACGGGAGACACACGGCGGGUGCUAACGUCCGUCGUGAAGAGGGAAACAACCCAGACCGCCAGCUAAGGUCCCAAAGUCAUGGUUAAGUGGGAAACGAUGUGGGAAGGCCCAGACAGCCAGGAUGUUGGCUUAGAAGCAGCCAUCAUUUAAAGAAAGCGUAAUAGCUCACUGGUCGAGUCGGCCUGCGCGGAAGAUGUAACGGGGCUAAACCAUGCACCGAAGCUGCGGCAGCGACGCUUAUGCGUUGUUGGGUAGGGGAGCG
Molecule: ribosomal RNA, 640 nt
Filed under: Salmonella enterica
Lineage: Bacteria; Pseudomonadati; Pseudomonadota; Gammaproteobacteria; Enterobacterales; Enterobacteriaceae
Description: partial 23S ribosomal RNA
Rfam family: Bacterial large subunit ribosomal RNA
Source: RNAcentral